This 468-nucleotide ribosomal RNA is filed under the name uncultured bacterium. RNAcentral describes it as "partial 16S ribosomal RNA". It matches the Rfam family "Bacterial small subunit ribosomal RNA", at positions 28 to 507 of the family's 1533-position model. The record is from RNAcentral.
GACGAACGCUGGCGGCGUGCUUAACACAUGCAAGUCGAACGGAAAGGCCCUGCUUUUGUGGGGUGCUCGAGUGGCGAACGGGUGAGUAACACGUGAGUAACCUGCCCUUGACUUUGGGAUAACUUCAGGAAACUGGGGCUAAUACCGGAUAGGAGCUCCUGCUGCACGGUGGGGGUUGGAAAGUUGCGGCGGUUGGGGAUGGACUCGCGGCUUAUCAGCUUGUUGGUGAGGUAGUGGCUUACCAAGGCUUUGACGGUUAGCCGGCCUGAGCGGGUGACCGGCCUCAGUGUGGCGAAGAUACGCCCCAGACUCCUAAGGGAGGCAGCAGUGGGGAAUGUUGCACAAUGGGCGGAGGCCAGAAGCAGCAACCCCGAGUCCGGGAUCACGGAAUGUGGGUGGGAAACCGCCUUCGACUGUGACGAAGCGUGGGGGACGGUAAUGUGCAAUGAAGAAACGGCUAACUGCAUG